Non-coding RNA from Camellia sinensis, 572 nucleotides. The record is from RefSeq and is a predicted model, not a curated record. NCBI's taxonomy places the organism in Eukaryota, Viridiplantae, Streptophyta, Magnoliopsida, Ericales, Theaceae.
UUGCCCACGACUGAGAGCACAACUUUUCAUUUUCCAAAGAUUUCCAAACACAUGCUAGUCCUUAUUUCAACCCUAGCGACUCCCUCAACUCUACUCUCUCUACCUCCGAUCGCGUCGCAGCCGUUUUCACCUUCGAUUGCGACCGACGCUCUCUCUAAGAUUGAGAUGGUAAAGAAGCGAGUCCCUAUCUUCCUCCCUCUCUCCCAGCCACCAACUCAAUCCCUCUAUCUCCCACUCCCUCAUCCCUCUUCAUCACUUCAGUUAUCUCUUCCCCGCAACAAACACAGCCCCUUUCAAACCAUUUUAGGGCUUUGUUUUGCAAUUGCUUCUUCGUUGAUUCCAAGCUACUCCUCAGAUCCUUCACAAAUCCGAUUAAUGGUGCUGAUGAUAUGUCUCUGCCAAGAACAUUGCUUGGGAGGAACUUGGAGCUGAAGGCUUCUUUUUGUUUAAUUGUUAUAUAUAUUUUGUUAUAAGCCUAGGGCUUUAACUGUAUUGAGCUUGGACUCACUUUUGUUGUAACCAAACACUAUCUUGAACAGAUGUAGCCAUCAGGGCAUUUAUUAUUUGUUUAA